UAGAGUUUGAUCCUGGCUCAGAACGAACGUUAGCGGCGCGCCUAACACAUGCAAGUCGCACGAGAAAGGGCUUCGGCCCCGGUACAGUGGCGCACGGGUGAGUAACACGUGGGUAAUCUGCCUUCGGGUGGGGGAUAACAUUCCGAAAGGAGUGCUAAUACCGCAUAAGACCACGCCCUCGAAAGAGGAAGCGGUCAAAGCUGGCCUCUAUAUAUAAGCUAGCGCCUGAAAAUGAGCCCGCGGAGCAUCAGCUAGUUGGUGAGGUAAUGGCUCACCAAGGCUUAGACGCUUAGCUGGUCUGAGAGGAUGAUCAGCCACACUGGAACUGAGACACGGUCCAGACUCCUACGGGAGGCAGCAGUGGGGAAUCUUGCGCAAUGGGCGAAASCCUGACGCAGSGACGCCGCGUGAGUGAUGAAGGCCUUCGGGUUGUAAAGCUCUGKGGGGGGAGAAGAAUAAGUGCGGGCUAAUACUCCGCAUGAUGACGGUAUCCCCUUAGCAAGCACCGGCUAACUCUGUGCCAGCCGCCGCGGUAAUUC
This 539-nucleotide ribosomal RNA is filed under the name uncultured Polyangium sp. RNAcentral describes it as "bacterial SSU rRNA". It matches the Rfam family "Bacterial small subunit ribosomal RNA", at positions 1 to 526 of the family's 1533-position model. Lineage: Bacteria; Pseudomonadati; Myxococcota; Polyangiales; Polyangiaceae. The record is from RNAcentral.